This 693-nucleotide long non-coding RNA is filed under the name Equus caballus (horse). Its description in RNAcentral is "lncRNA (ENSECAG00000045807.1)". Lineage: Eukaryota; Metazoa; Chordata; Mammalia; Perissodactyla; Equidae. The record is from RNAcentral.
UGAACAUUGUGUAAAGGAGAACACCCAGAACUUUCAAGGGAUUGAGUUCGUACUGCUACCCACAGACCCAAAGUGUCUUCACAACUUGCCCUCCCCGUUAAAGAUUGGAUGAAGGAAGCUGCUAUGUUUUGAGCUGCCCUAUGGAGAGACCAGCAUGGUAAGGAAAUAAAGGAAGCCUCCAUUUGACAUCCAGCAAGAAAGUGAGAUGCUCAGUCACUUGAACCACAAGGAAUUGAAAUCUACCAACACUCACAUGUGCUUGAAAGUGGAUCCGUCCUGAGUGGAGCAUUCGGAUGAGACUGCAGCCCCAACAGAAAUCUUGGUUGCAGCCUUGGGAGACCUGAAGCAAAGGUCCUGAUGCAAAGGACUCAAGGGGGGAAGUCUGAGCUACCCCAUGGCAUAAAGGCGAGUCUCAGAUUUGUUAAGAGGAUUUCACCAAAUUUCUUUAUCUGAAGAUGACCCACAAUCAGCCUUCUCUGCGUUUUUUAAUUCUUGCUUGUUACAUGGCCUUACCAAUCCUGUUUGUGUUUUAAAUCCAAUCCUCACCAUUUACCUGUGAAACUCAUCUGAGGGAAAACACACGUCCAGGACCCCGGAAAAUAUGGAGGUAUUUCCUUCUCUCUCUCAAGGGCAGCACUUCUGAUGAGAAGAGCAGCUCAUUGUGCUGGAGUAGCUGUUGUGCUUGAUUUUUAC